UAUUGGAACUGGAUUUAGAAUGUCGCUAAAUUAGAUAUAUGCAUACGUAAUUUUUAACUCGGUGUAUUUGAAAUGUAACAUUAAAGACACUUUAUCAUCUUUCAUACACUCAAUAUAACCGCGCUCGAAAGAAGUUUUUAUCUACUGAUUUGUGGCGCGACAUUAAUUCUCUUAUAUAACUUUGUAUCCUUCCGAACUACUUCCCAACUACAUUCCACAGAAAUGUAGACGGAAGUUCUGUUCAGAAAAUA
Molecule: non-coding RNA, 251 nt
Organism: Paramuricea clavata
Lineage: Eukaryota; Metazoa; Cnidaria; Anthozoa; Malacalcyonacea; Plexauridae
Source: the annotation of a GenBank genome assembly